CAGUAGCCGCGGUAAUACAGAGGGUGCAAGCGUUAAUCGGAAUUACUGGGCGUAAAGUGCGCGUAGGUGGUUUGUUAAGUUGGAUGUGAAAUCCCCGGGCUCAACCUGGGAACUGCAUCCAAAACUGGCAAGCUAGAGUAUGGUAGAGGGUGGUGGAAUUUCCUGUGUAGCGGUGAAAUGCGUAGAUAUAGGAAGGAACACCAGUGGCGAAGGCGACCACCUGGACUGAUACUGACACUGAGGUGCGAAAGCGUGGGGAGCAAACAGGAUUAGAUACCCCCGUAGUCCCUGUCUCUUAUAC
This 301-nucleotide ribosomal RNA is filed under the name uncultured bacterium. Its description in RNAcentral is "partial 16S ribosomal RNA". It matches the Rfam family "Bacterial small subunit ribosomal RNA", at positions 509 to 807 of the family's 1533-position model. The record is from RNAcentral.